AGAGUUUGAUCCUGGCUCAGGACGAACGCUGGCGGCGUGCUUAACACAUGCAAGUCGAGCGAUGAAGCUUCCUUCGGGGAGUGGAUUAGCGGCGGACGGGUGAGUAACACGUGGGUAACCUGCCUCAAAGUGGGGGAUAGCCUUCCGAAAGGAAGAUUAAUACCGCAUAAUAUAAGAGAAUCGCAUGAUUUUCUUAUCAAAGAUUUAUUGCUUUGAGAUGGACCCGCGGCGCAUUAGCUAGUUGGUAAGAUAACGGCUUACCAAGGCAACGAUGCGUAGCCGACCUGAGAGGGUGAUCGGCCACAUUGGAACUGAGACACGGUCCAGACUCCUACGGGAGGCAGCAGUGGGGAAUAUUGCGCAAUGGGGGAAACCCUGACGCAGCAACGCCGCGUGGGUGAUGAAGGUCUUCGGAUUGUAAAGCCCUGUUUUCUAGGACGAUAAUGACGGUACUAGAGGAGGAAGCCACGGCUAACUACGUGCCAGCAGCCGCGGUAAUACGUAGGUGGCGAGCGUUGUCCGGAUUUACUGGGCGUAAAGGGUGCGUAGGCGGAUGUUUAAGUGGGAUGUGAAAUCCCCGGGCUUAACCUGGGGGCUGCAUUCCAAACUGGAUAUCUAGAGUGCAGGAGAGGAAAGCGGAAUUCCUAGUGUAGCGGUGAAAUGCGUAGAGAUUAGGAAGAACACCAGUGGCGAAGGCGGCUUUCUGGACUGUAACUGACGCUGAGGCACGAAAGCGUGGGUAGCAAACAGGAUUAGAUACCCUGGUAGUCCACGCCGUAAACGAUGGAUACUAGGUGUAGGGGGUAUCAACUCCCCCUGUGCCGCAGUUAACACAAUAAGUAUCCCGCCUGGGGAGUACGGUCGCAAGAUUAAAACUCAAAGGAAUUGACGGGGGCCCGCACAAGCAGCGGAGCAUGUGGUUUAAUUCGAAGCAACGCGAAGAACCUUACCUGGACUUGACAUCCCUUGCAUAGCCUAGAGAUAGGUGAAGCCCUUCGGGGCAAGGAGACAGGUGGUGCAUGGUUGUCGUCAGCUCGUGUCGUGAGAUGUUAGGUUAAGUCCUGCAACGAGCGCAACCCUUGUUAUUAGUUGCUACCAUUAAGUUGAGCACUCUAAUGAGACUGCCUGGGUAACCAGGAGGAAGGUGGGGAUGACGUCAAAUCAUCAUGCCCCUUAUGUCCAGGGCUACACACGUGCUACAAUGGUAGGUACAAUAAGACGCAAGACCGUGAGGUGGAGCAAAACUUAUAAAACCUAUCUCAGUUCGGAUUGUAGGCUGCAACUCGCCUACAUGAAGCUGGAGUUGCUAGUAAUCGCGAAUCAGAAUGUCGCGGUGAAUACGUUCCCGGGCCUUGUACACACCGCCCGUCACACCAUGAGAGCUGGUAACACCCGAAGUCCGUGAGGUAACCGUAAGGAGCCAGCGGCCGAAGGUGGGAUUAGUGAUUGGGGUGAAGUCGUAACAAGGUAGCCGUAGGAGAACCUGCGGCUGGAUCACCU
RNAcentral lists this ribosomal RNA (1500 nucleotides) under Clostridium botulinum. RNAcentral's name for it is "bacterial SSU rRNA". It matches the Rfam family "Bacterial small subunit ribosomal RNA". The record is from RNAcentral. Lineage: Bacteria; Bacillati; Bacillota; Clostridia; Eubacteriales; Clostridiaceae.